This 607-nucleotide ribosomal RNA is filed under the name uncultured Fusarium. RNAcentral describes it as "eukaryotic LSU rRNA". The stretch from base 223 to 376 matches the Rfam family "5.8S ribosomal RNA". Lineage: Eukaryota; Fungi; Ascomycota; Sordariomycetes; Hypocreales; Nectriaceae. The record is from RNAcentral.
CAAACUUGGUCAUUUAGAGGAAGUAAAAGUCGUAACAAGGUCUCCGUUGGUGAACCAGCGGAGGGAUCAUUACCGAGUUAUACAACUCAUCAACCCUGUGAACAUACCUAAAACGUUGCUUCGGCGGGAACAGACGGCCCUGUAACAACGGGCCGCCCCCGCCAGAGGACCCCUAACUCUGUUUUUAUAAUGUUUUUCUGAGUAAACAAGCAAAUAAAUUAAAACUUUCAACAACGGAUCUCUUGGCUCUGGCAUCGAUGAAGUACGCAGCGAAAUGCGAUAAGUAAUGUGAAUUGCAGAAUUCAGUGAAUCAUCGAAUCUUUGAACGCACAUUGCGCCCGCCAGUAUUCUGGCGGGCAUGCCUGUUCGAGCGUCAUUACAACCCUCAGGCCCCCGGGCCUGGCGUUGGGGAUCGGCGGAAGCCCCCUGUGGGCACACGCCGUCCCUCAAAUACAGUGGCGGUCCCGCCGCAGCUUCCAUUGCGUAGUAGCUAACACCUCGCAACUGGAGAGCGGCGCGGCCAUGCCGUAAAACACCCAACUUCUGAAUGUUGACCUCGAAUCAGGUAGGAAUACCCGCUGAACUUAAGCAUAUCAAUAAGCGGAGG